CGCGUAGGCGGCUUGGUAAGUCGGAUGUGAAAGCCCAGGGCUCAACCGUGGAAGUGCAUCCGAAACUGCUUGGCUUGAGUGCCGGAGAGGGUGGUGGAAUUCCGAGUGUAGAGGUGAAAUUCGUAGAUAUUCGGAGGAACACCCGUGGCGAAGGCGACCACCUGGACGGACACUGACGCUGAGGUGCGAAAGCGUGGGGAGCAAACA
This 207-nucleotide ribosomal RNA is filed under the name uncultured bacterium. RNAcentral's name for it is "partial 16S ribosomal RNA". It matches the Rfam family "Bacterial small subunit ribosomal RNA", at positions 568 to 774 of the family's 1533-position model. The record is from RNAcentral.